RNAcentral lists this ribosomal RNA (480 nucleotides) under uncultured bacterium. RNAcentral's name for it is "bacterial SSU rRNA". It matches the Rfam family "Bacterial small subunit ribosomal RNA", at positions 29 to 501 of the family's 1533-position model. The record is from RNAcentral.
AACGAACGCUGGCGGCGUGUUUAAGACAUGCAAGUCGCACGGAGAAUAUGAAUAGCUUGCUAAUUGUAUUCUUAGUGGCGCACGGGUGAGUAACACGUGAGUUACAUGCCUCACAGAGGGGAAUAGCCCGCCGAAAGGCGGAUUAAUACCCCAUGGUCCCGCAAGGGUAAAGGCGGCUUCGGCUGUCGCUGUGAGAUUGGCUCGCGUCCUAUCAGCUUGUUGGUAAGGUAACGGCUUACCAAGGCAACGACGGGUAGCUGGUCUGAGAGGACGAUCAGUCACACUGGAACUGAGACACGGUCCAGACACCUACGGGUGGCAGCAGUCGAGAAUAAUUCACAAUGGGGGAAACCCUGAUGGUGCAACGCCGCGUGGAGGAUGAAGGCCCUAGGGUCGUAAACUCCUGUCAUUUUGAGAGUAAGACCUGGCAGUUAAUAGCUGACAGGGUUGAUAGUAUCAAAAGAGGAAGGGACGGCUAAC